Anopheles merus is the source of this 577-nucleotide long non-coding RNA. RefSeq lists it as uncharacterized. The record is from RefSeq and is a predicted model, not a curated record. The transcript has 3 exons. NCBI's taxonomy places the organism in Eukaryota, Metazoa, Arthropoda, Insecta, Diptera, Culicidae.
UCAAUUAAGGCAAGCCGAAGCGAACUUCAUCACACACCGGUGGGAGCUUAAGCCCCUCGGCCGGAUACUCCACGUGCUGUGCUGCCGGCGAGACAGUGCCGGUAUGCAGCAGCGAGGGAGCGAGAACGAGAGGCACCGAACAUUGAGGAGCAAAAAAGGCCGGCAGUUGUCAAAAUUGACAAAUCGUGCGAACAGCGCGCCGGGCAGGGAGGAAGAGCGGUUAAGAUCGAGUGUACGGAUCAAACCACCUCAGUUCCAGAUACACCAGGUUCUCCUGUUUUGAAAGUGCCGUGGACUCGCGUCAUGCCUCCUGAUAAGUGGUGCGAUAGAUCCAUUAGUUGGUUCUUGGUGAGCUAUGAACUAAGUUGGUCGCCUUGGAUAUAUGUAUGACUCAGCGGGUUCUUCUGAACGUCAUCCGAUGCCAUCACUUGCUAGUAAAUUUUAUUUCUUGAAGACUACCUAAGAUUACUACAUCGCAAAGAUACUUCCGUCCUACUCAAACCUGUGCUGGAGUAAGAGGUGGAGACUUAUCAACAUCGCCAUCAUCAAUUGGAACGAUACCAAUAAAUGAAAUGAA